Molecule: ribosomal RNA, 531 nt
Filed under: uncultured bacterium
Lineage: Bacteria
Description: bacterial SSU rRNA
Rfam family: Bacterial small subunit ribosomal RNA
Source: RNAcentral
CUUGACAUACUGAUGACAGGUCUAGAGAUAGUAUUUUCCCUUUUAGGGCAUCGGAUACAGGUGGUGCAUGGUUGUCGUCAGCUCGUGUCGUGAGAUGUUGGGUUAAGUCCCGCAACGAGCGCAACCCCUUAUUGUUAGUUGCCAUCAUUAAGUUGGGCACUCUAGCGAGACUGCCAGUAAUAAACUGGAGGAAGGUGGGGAUGACGUCAAAUCAUCAUGCCCCUUAUGACCUGGGCUACACACGUGCUACAAUGGGAAGUACAACGAGUUGCGAGGCGGUGACGCCAAGCUAAUCUCUUAAAGCUUCUCUCAGUUCGGAUUGUAGGCUGCAACUCGCCUACAUGAAGUCGGAAUCGCUAGUAAUCGCGGAUCAGCACGCCGCGGUGAAUACGUUCCCGGGCCUUGUACACACCGCCCGUCACACCACGAGAGUUUGUAACACCCGAAGUCGGUGAGGUAACCGUAAGGAGCCAACCGCCUAAGGUGGGAUAGAUGAUUGGGGUGAAGUCGUAACAAGGUAGGCGUAGAUGA